Drosophila melanogaster (fruit fly) is the source of this 361-nucleotide non-coding RNA. Lineage: Eukaryota; Metazoa; Arthropoda; Insecta; Diptera; Drosophilidae. The record is from Ensembl.
GGCGGUCGAGUGCCUCACAGUGUAUCAAGGGUUGGCCACGUUCCUCACUAAUUGUGGCUAUUUGCGCCAUCGUCUCAUGCAAUGUUAUUUGAGAGAUGGCAAAAUAUAUAGUAUGUUUGUCUCCAAUGUGUUGAGACUGAGAAGAUAUUGUACCCGUGAAUUGAUGAAAAUUGAUUGAUUAUAUGUAAUGUUGAUUUCAUGAAAAACACGCUGUGUUGGAGGAACUCAAACAAAACAAGCAUAAAAUCCAAAAAAAAAAAAAAAAAAACAAAUCAAAUUUUAACAAACAAUAAUAAUACUGUGUGGUGCGCUGGCGUGGGGGAGUGGUUAUUCUCACAUUCCAGUCUGAUCGCUUUUUUUU